RNAcentral lists this long non-coding RNA (309 nucleotides) under Parus major (Great Tit). RNAcentral describes it as "lncRNA (ENSPMJG00000012115.1)". The record is from RNAcentral. Lineage: Eukaryota; Metazoa; Chordata; Aves; Passeriformes; Paridae.
AAACACUUCACAUAAAACAGAUAUUUCAAAAUCUUUGUCUCACUGUUUUUGUUGUUUGUUUUUUUUUUUUUAGUGAAAGAAAAAUUAAAAGGAAAAAGGAAAGUGAAGAAAUUAAUUAUACCAGAUUUCAGCGAAGCUCAAGACAUUUUCUUCCGGAAAGAUGUCAAACAACUGAGACACAGCAACAGAGGAAGUAGAAAGGUGGAAAAAUAAGAAGAGGGACCCUUUGGAAGAAAUGAAGGCAUUCCUUAUGAGAGCCUUGAGGUUUUUUUGGUUUUGUUUUUUUUUUCUUCUAACAUCUGACCCACA